UGGGGACCUGCCCAGUGGUAGGGGAUAACUGCGGGAAACUGCAGCUAAUACCCUAUGUGUCCUAUGGGAGAAAGAUUUAUCGCCAUUGGAGGGGCCCGCGUCGGAUUAGGUAGUUGGUGGGGUAAUGGCCCACCAAGCCUGCGAUCCGUAGCUGGUCUGAGAGGAUGAUCAGCCACACUGGGACUGAGACACGGCCCAGACUCCUACGGGAGGCAG
This 216-nucleotide ribosomal RNA is filed under the name uncultured bacterium. RNAcentral describes it as "partial 16S ribosomal RNA". It matches the Rfam family "Bacterial small subunit ribosomal RNA", at positions 118 to 351 of the family's 1533-position model. The record is from RNAcentral.